UAUUUAUGUGUAAUUAUUCAGGUACUACGUGACUUAAGUCUAAAAUGUAUAUAAAAAUAUCACAGAAUCGUUUUUUUUUCAUUCAUUUAUCCCCUAUGUGUUCCGGGACUCGCCUUGGUGAAAAAAGCAGGUAGUAAGUGCUGGCCAGAAUUGUUGUCAAGAUUUUCAUUUAGAACUCCUACUGGUGAAAGGUUUUCCACAAAUCUCCUUUGAAGGCUGAGAGCAUACGUGAAGAAUGUUUGCGCAGGUGUAAAUGUGCUGAUUUGAGAAGUGCUUGGAGGGAUUCUAAAAGUUUUUUCCUACACAUUUUCUCAGGAUUUUUCGUUCAAACAUUUCAAUUUCAUUUGCCACUGUUGGAGAAAUCGAAAACCAUAUUGGGAAACCAUAAUAUAUAAAUGGGCGGAUGGCGACUUUAUAUAAGAACAACUUAGUACUCUGUGGCAGAUAAGUAUUGCACAUGAUGUAUGAUAAACGACCAGCUGUCAUUUUGGCUUUUUUCAGGGCGGUUCUGGCGUGGUCAUUAAACUUAAAAUGUUUAUUUAUGUUUAUUCCCAAAUAUUUUAAGGUGUUCCUAAAAGGGAUUUUUGUUCCUCCAAGCGAGAGAUUCAAUAGUUUGGAUUCUGGCACUACUGUUCUAUGGCAUUUUCCUGAAGCGUUUCUAAUGCAAAUUGCCUCCGACUUCGCAGCAUUUAUGGAAAUUCCCCAUGUCGUGUAAUAUGCUUUUAUAAUUUGAAGAUGGUACGCUGCAUUAUUGAGAGCAGUAAUUGGUAGUGCAAUUUUAUGAUCUCUAGACUCCACUUUUUCGGAAUGCUGAUCGUGUAUGGAGAGGAAGGUGGCAAAGUUUGGCGAAGAGCUGAGUCAAAGUCCUGACGAUAGUUUACCCAAUUUGUGGAUUUAUAAGAUGUAAAGACUGGGGGAGACUUCAAUGCGAGACUGGCCGUGUUAAAGGCUAAUUUCAAUUUUAACGGGAAGUGAUCCGAAAAAGAGGGAAGCGAUGAGAUGUUGUAAUUAGCAGCAUUGAAGUCAAUCAAAUUGGCACUAAUAAGAAAAUGAUCAAGGAAUGAGGAUCCGUUUGGGUAUGAAGGCGUUGAGCAGCAAAUUCUACUAAUGUCAGUGGAAUUAUCAAGCAACCAACUAUAAAGAGCUUUACCAUUGGUAUUGUCAGUGAGAUCUCCCCAUGAUACAUUUUUGGAGUUGAGAUCUCCGCCAAAAAUGAACCCGUCAUAUUGUGAUGUUGCCGAUAGACAGUUAUUUAGUCCGUUUAUAAGUUGCAGAGAAUUGUAGUUACAUGGGAUAUAGAGCGAUCCCAACAGAUAUCUACGUAUGAUGUUACCUCUUGUUUCGAUUUCUACAAAAACAGUAUUGAAAUUAAUAUCUUCAAUAUCAACUCGUCUGUAAUUGAGGGUACUUUUUACUAAUAUGGCUACUCCUAUGUGUGAGUAGUCAUAAAUAAAGUUGUAACCGCUUAA
Musca domestica (house fly) is the source of this 1469-nucleotide long non-coding RNA. RefSeq lists it as uncharacterized. Lineage: Eukaryota; Metazoa; Arthropoda; Insecta; Diptera; Muscidae. The record is from RefSeq and is a predicted model, not a curated record. The transcript has 4 exons.